UGACCACCGGUACCGGCUCCAUGGUCGUUGCAGGUGGUCUUCCACGACACAAUUUCCCAAACGAAGGAGAAACAGAAAAACAGCAACAUCCACCCUCUUCUCCGCGCAGCCAUCUUACUCAGUCAUAUGACCCGUGCCCGUCAUGUGAUCUUACAGUUUGUGAUUGGUCGGGAAUAGGCUUCAGUCGAGGGCCUUCCACUUGCUACCUUGCUGGUUAACUAUGAAAUAUUCAUUUUUACCCAUCUAGAAGAAUAUGUGCAGUGUUGAACAGUUGAAGAUAUUAACACAGACGACCAGAUGAAGAACAGCAGUUCAUGACUUGCUGGAGGACUGUUCUUCAGAAGAGCUGAUUCCUUCUGGGACUCUAUCAUUACAGGACAAUACAGACUAGGCACCAGUUCAGAUACACACACUUGGAUCCUGUUAGGUGGAAUGUCACUUGAUGAAUUGCACAUCAAAAGUGAACAGAAUUAAACAGUGGUGUUGAAACAGCUAUGGAAAAUCUGUAUUGGCGGGAACAUCUGCAAGCUAUGCUCAGCGGGACCAAGGUACUGAACCCAGCAGUGGGUAUUGGGGUGUAUGCAGGAGGAAAACAAUGAAAAGGAGAAUGAUGGAGAAUUAACAAAAAAAAGGUGCAAAAAUACUGCCAGGGAUACUUUCCUCAGUCUCAGAAGAUGGAGGAUUCCAGCUCAAUCAUUUGUGCGUUGAUGUCACAGGCCACUGCCAGGAUAUCAUCCUCUGUGGAACUUCAGUCAUAGCACAUGAAUCAGUCUUUGCCAGCCCUGGUAACAGCUGUAUAAACAAUGGAUGCUAAUAUCACUCCUUCAAGAAAUAGGAUAGCAGAAACCUUAACUGAUCUGUUCAAAGCUGAUUAUGCAAAGAGACUGGAGCAAUGUGCGCUUGGACAAGGAGACAUAGAAUGGAAAUAGGGGAGAUUAAAAUAGAGAUUGGGCAUGGCACCAGUUGCCCACCUCCACCCGUACUAUACCCUGUGUGCUGCCUCUUCUCCUGCCCCAGUCUUCCCCUUUAAUCAGAGCAGUUUCCACUUCCUGGGCUGAAGCCACUGGAAUUACACCAUAUAGGAGUCUGGUUCACAGAAAGUAUAAAAACAUGUCUUAUGAAAAUGUUUUGUAAAUAUCUUUAAUUUAUUAAGUUACAUAAAUGUUAAUCUGCACUA
Rhincodon typus (whale shark) is the source of this 1177-nucleotide long non-coding RNA. RefSeq lists it as uncharacterized. The transcript is spliced from 2 exons. The record is from RefSeq and is a predicted model, not a curated record. Lineage: Eukaryota; Metazoa; Chordata; Chondrichthyes; Orectolobiformes; Rhincodontidae.